This 465-nucleotide ribosomal RNA is filed under the name uncultured bacterium. Its description in RNAcentral is "partial 16S ribosomal RNA". It matches the Rfam family "Bacterial small subunit ribosomal RNA", at positions 338 to 795 of the family's 1533-position model. The record is from RNAcentral.
CCUACGGGAGGCAGCAGUGGGGAAUAUUGCUCAAUGGGCGAAAGCCUGACGCAGCGACGCCGCGUGAGGGAUGAAGGUCUUCGGAUCGUAAACCUCUGUCAGCAGGGGAGCACGGUCACUGUGCUAAUCAGCCGUGAAUUGACGGUACCUGCAAAGGAAGCACCGGCUAACUCCGUGCCAGCAGCCGCGGUCAUACGGAGGGUGCGAGCGUUAAUCGGAAUUACUGGGCGUAAAGCGCUCGUAGGCGGUAUGUCAAGUCAAGGGGGAAAUCGACGCGCUCAACGUGGGAACUGCCUUUGAAACUGGCAAACUGGAGUGGGUGAGAGGAUAGUGGAAUGCCAGGUGUAGGAGUGAAAUCCGUAGAUAUCUGGAGGAACAUCAGUGGCGAAGGCGACUAUCUGGCACAUAACUGACGCUGAGGAGCGAAAGCGUGGGUAGCAAACAGGAUUAGAUACCCCGGUAGUC